This is a long non-coding RNA of Orcinus orca (killer whale), 5152 nucleotides long. RefSeq lists it as uncharacterized. The transcript is spliced from 5 exons. The record is from RefSeq and is a predicted model, not a curated record. Lineage: Eukaryota; Metazoa; Chordata; Mammalia; Artiodactyla; Delphinidae.
GGAGAGAAAGUGGGUCUUAUAUAAAGGGCCAUUUGCCACACAUGAUUUCCACAGGAUUCCGGAAUCUCCCCGAACUUGAGAGAGUACUUCUGCACUUUAAGGCCAUAUCAUUCCAAUAAUAGGCAAUGAAGAUGAUUUAUUCCAUUUACGUGGAGGCAGGGAAAUGAAGAUUCCAUGAGGCCAAGCGCCUUACCCUGGGGAUAUGAGGAAGAAGUUGCCCAGCCAGAAAAGGGAAUCAGAGAAGGUUGGAAUCAGAGCCCUGUGCGUUUCCAACUUAAGAAGAGACUCGUUCCUUAUGUAUAAAGACAUUUCUGCUUCUCUUCAGAUUGAUAUAGUUGAGGGAAAGUGGUUUAUGGGUCCUCCUGAGACUCUCAAAAAUGUUAGCUAUUUGUUUCCAGGACCUGCAAUCACAAAUCAUGUGUUGGUAGUACUAACCCUUCCAACUCUGAGAUCUAAAUUUACUUAGUAAAUUUCAGAUUGUUCCUAUAAAUGGAUUAAAAGUGGAAUUUAAUAAAAACAAUAAAAAUCAAAAGCAACAAAGAAAAUAAAAGAUUUUCUCCCUAAGCAGAUAAGUGACGUACAUGUUUAUUGGGGUUUUACUUUUAGAUAUUUGUCUCAACAUUGUAACUUGUAAGGUAACCCACAGAUUAUUUUACAAUCUCCUCUUCUGAGUGUUUAAAGGGCACUCAGUAAAGACUUACUGGUUGAAACACUGAUACCCCUCCCAGUUAUAGAUCGACCAGUGACUAGUAUAGAAAGUUUUAUAAUUGAUAACACAGUGUAUACACAGCUACUUAUUCAAAUAUUCAGUUAAUAAAGCACAUUUACUGGUUUAACCAAGUAAGUUGUGAUUAGAAGAAUGAGCCAGAAUUAGCCAUUAUGACUUCAACUCAGUUAACUUUGAUAAAUAAACAUCUCGUGUGAUUUCUUCUUCAAAAGAUAAAACUUUGACAACAGGAGUCUGAUGUAUGACUUUUAAAAAACAGAAAGAGAUUGAAUGUGUCAAGAGUCAGAAAAACAUACAUUGUCCAAAUUUUGUUUUCCAAAAAAUCACUUAUCCUAGCCAAGAGUAAAUAACAGAGGGUCCUUGAUCAUCAGUAUUGGGUAGUAUGAAAGAUGGAAAUCACCAUCACUGGGUAGGUUUUUUUCCAUAAUAAACUGCAAUAUUGGUUUAUGUAGCAUCCAUAUAACUCUUUUCUGUUAUACUUUUGGAGUUGCCGUGUUCAAAGUAACACCUGGAAAUUGUUGACUAUGAUACAGAAAAAUAGAAUUGAAUUUGGUCUUUUUCUUUUUCUCCUCAUUUAUUGAAUUUGGUCUUAUGAGCUAGGAUUCAGCAUCGAGGUACUGCAGCAUACUUCUGAAAAUAAGCCUUGCAAAUGUUUUCCACUAGAAUAUUUAUGGAUAUAGUAAUUUAGGCAGUCAUUCCCUAGAGUAGAUUAUGACAUGCCAGUAGCUGAAAGAUGAGAAUAAAACCUAAAGUGUCCAGUUGCAACUAGAGAGAGCCAUAAAAAACCCACAUUAAAAAUAUUUUUAAAAAGCACCUUUUUUUUUUUUUUUUAGAUUGGUACUAAUUUAAAAAGAUCCACACAUUUGGGAAAUUGUCUUUAUGACUUUUUCUCACAGACCGCUUUCCUUCCUGUUUGUGGAUUAAAAUAAAUAACGCCUGAGAUUUUAAUUUUAGUUUCUCAAACAAGACAAAACCAGUUGAACUGCUUUAUAUUGUCUCCUGAGCCAGGAAUUGAGGUCAACCGUCACGAAAAAAUAACCACAAUUUGACUUUUUGUGUUUUGUAGGUUAAUACCAGCAAAGAAGGGGGUGAGUUGUUUAUAUCCUUAAAAAUAAUUUCAGAAGAAAUGAAAGUCUUCAGCUCACUAUUAAUCAUAUUAUUUCCCAUUUUUUUUCCGGUGAAGAGUUUAUAAAUGCCAGUAAAGGCCUUCCUUUGUAGAAGUUACUGAGUUUAAAUACAUGUGAAAUGCCAUUGCUUCGAUAGAUAGCUUCAUAGACAACGAGAUCAAAGCUGUUAACAUACAUUUCAAGAGCCUUGGCCGACUGAUGUUCUUACAACCGUCAUAUUUUAGAGACCUUUCUAAAUCAUGAGUUACAUGAAAUAGAGUAAAGAACCUAAGAAAAAAUCAGGCAAGAUUGUUUCAUUGAGCUGUCCCUUUCCCCUCUGGGGCCUAUUAACUACUACACAAACAAGGCUGCCUCUUAUUUCGUCUUAUUUGGCGUUGGUACACACCUCUAAGUGAGUGGAGCCAGUCCUCUAGAACUGGCUGUCUCCUCUUGAACAGUUUGUUAUUCAUAUUUCAGUCGCUUUUUUUUUCAUGCCUCUUUUUCACUUCAUGACGUCAGAGUAUCUGAUACUGAUCAAAUCAAUGGAGGUAGCCUAGGGUACAAGCAUUUCGGAAUAGGAUGUUAAUGCAGUACUGGGUAUAUCUCACUCACUGGCACAAGCUUUUUGAUGUUGGAGCAGAAAAAAACUGUUCAGAAAUGUCUCCUUGCCUCCCUCGCAGGGUUAUAGUGGUUUACCAGGCCAGGAAUUAAACAGAGAAGAAAGGAAUCCAUUUUUAAAGGCACAUCCUUUAGAUGACAGAUGCAGAAGCCACAUGUAUUGGCAUUUCAUUACUUAGAAUCUUAUUCGAGUAUCAACGUUUAUCUGAACACAAAGGAGGACGGAGCCAAAGAUUCAAACUGUGUUUAAUUUGGACUCACGUAAUUCAUGCUUGGGAGAAACUUAGGGGUACGGAGUCUUCUGCCCAUUCACGUGAAACACCCAUUACCAUUAAUAGGGAUAACCAUAUUUGUUGAAAAGAAAACCUGUCCUUUAGAACUAACUUAGACCUUAGGGACAGAAAGAUGUCCCCAGCUAAUAGCUGAUGGGAAUUGUACAGUCUCAAAUUUGCUCCCUGCUGACCUGGCAUCACUGAAUUUGGAAAAGCAGAGCCAGGUUCACCCGGGGGUAGCAGAGAAGAAAACUGUUUUGAAACAAAAAAAAAAAAAAAAAGAAAGGAAGGUGAUUAUACUUCAGGCUUUUAAAUUAAGUCACAGAAGUCCCUGCCUAAUUAUAUCAUGAAAACAAGCUCCAAGUUCCUAGGAAAGAGAAGGUAGUGGUAGAUUUAUUCUUGUUUACUCCUUUCAACCAACCACACUUGAAAAGGUUUUCUUAAAAUAAUGAAAUGACUCAUCUGAUUAGAUGAAAUAUUUCAAUUUGGAAACCAAAUGACAUUUCAUUUUCAAGGAUUCAUGGUAAGGGAAAACAGAUGGGAAAAAUAAUCUUGAGCCACAGAAAAUCACAAACCUUGGGUUAUAUCCUAUCACUAACCUUCUUGACCCCAGAUGUGAACAAGAGGCCAGCCAGUCACUGAGGCAAUACAGUAUUAAAAAACCGUUGUGGGUGGAGCAUAUUGGGAGGUGCUGAGGGGAGACAAGAAGUAACGGAAAAGCAUAGUUCUUACCUUUAAAAAGUGUAUGACGGGGCUUCCCUGGUGGCGCAGUGGUUGAGAGUCCGCCUGCCGAUGCAGGGGACACGGGUUCGUGCCCCGGUCCGGGAAGAUCCCACAUGCCGCGGAGCGGCUGGGCCCGUGAGCCAUGGCCGCUGAGCCUGCGCGUCCGGAGCCUGUGCUCCGCAACGGGAGAGGCCACAACAGUGAGAGGCCCGUGUACCGCAAAAAAAAAAAAAAAAAAAAAGUGUAUGAUGAAGUCUAAAUAUUAGUACAAAGCAUGUGGAUGUUUGCAUUCACUUUCUCGCCUUGACAUUUUCUCUCCCCUUGGAGAGGAUAAUAAACUACAGGGUCGGGAGGAGGAAGACUUGGGCUUCUCAGUAGUCUCUCAAAUGGGGUGUAAACAGAUCUCUGAACAAUCAGAGCCCUUCACUAGCUUCAGAACAGGAUAAGGAUUAAGAAGACAAGCUUUGAAAAUAGAUAAACCUGAGCCUGUCACUUGAAAGUUUCCAAGUCUCUGUUCCCGUAUCUGUAAAAUGGAGCAAUAAUGCUCAACCACAGGGUGGCUGAGGAAAUCAAAUAAGAUGAAAUGUAUGAAAUACUUAGCACAGGGUUUGGCAAACAGCAAGAACUCGAAUGAACAGUAGUCUUUACUAUUAUUAAUAAUGGAUAGUGGCUAAUAUUCAUUUAACAUCUAGUGUCCUUUGCAUGGAAUGUUCCUGACCCUCCCCUCUGGUGUUUAUCUGUGGCUCAACUGGCCACACAGGGAGUGUCAAGUACAGCUCUGUAACCCUGGUGCCUUUCUUGGGUUUUAUCCAGAGACCAACUCAGCACAAUGCCCCUGCGGGAAGGAUGGGGUGGGAGUUGGGGAUAAAAAGGUGAAAAAUCAUGCCAGGUGCAGUGGGGAUUACGAUGAGAAGCAUGCCUUAGCCAAGCGAGAGCCACUGCAGACACCUCUUGGCAUUCCACCCAUGGGGACUGAGUAGCUUCUGUGUGCCAGGCUGGCCACAUUGGUGUCCUGAAGAGAGCACGUAUUUUCACUGCUUCCUGCUAGGCUAUGCUAUCUUGGGGAUUGGGAAUCUUAGGCACGUGAUUUUGGAAUGAAAUAUUGCUUUAGAAGAAAGAACAAAACAUUAGCUAGUUUAGACCAGUCCAGGAUAGGAGAGGAGAUAAGCCCUGCUGAAGAGCCCUGUUGAAAUCACAAAUGCUGCAUUAUCGUGGGAUGGAGAAAGAAGAUAAGUGUAACAUUUCUGUCUUCUGCCCACAUCUACUGAGGUGAUGGAAGAUGUGACUGCCCAAGAGAAUUAAGGUUAGGAAGUUAGACCCACAUUCAGGUGUCAUGGAGGAGCCCAAGAAGCUUCAAGGUCGUCCAGUCUGUCCUGCCGCCGGUACCACCUAGUGGCAGCCAGGAAUAUGUGUCCUGCCUUCUCAGGCGUGGCCUCCUUGGCCUGCCUGGUCUUCAGCCUCAUGACUCCAGCCUUGAUGAAGACACACAGAGGAUCAGCAGACCGUCUGCGGAAAACACUGAACUCUCCUCUGAUUGUUUAUGAGGAACAUUUGACUUGUCAGUUUUCCGGAAGGAUUUAUAUAAAUGAAGGAAAGAGGAGAGGACUGCACUGGCACCUACCCCUUGGAAGUCUGUUCAGUGGUCUGCCCUCUGGAAUUGUAUUCCCUGAUGCUUUGUGGAGAUGGUUUGACCCCGACGGCUUGAU